Molecule: transfer RNA, 70 nt
Filed under: Rhinatrema bivittatum (two-lined caecilian)
Lineage: Eukaryota; Metazoa; Chordata; Amphibia; Gymnophiona; Rhinatrematidae
Description: tRNA-Trp
Rfam family: tRNA
About the family: Transfer RNA (tRNA) molecules are approximately 80 nucleotides in length. Their secondary structure includes four short double-helical elements and three loops (D, anti-codon, and T loops).
Source: RNAcentral
AAAAAUUUAGGUUAAUAUAGACCAAGGGCCUUCAAAGCCCUAAGCAAGAGACAGCCCCUCUUAAUUUUUG